RNAcentral lists this long non-coding RNA (6608 nucleotides) under Gossypium raimondii (Peruvian cotton). Its description in RNAcentral is "long non-coding RNA (GRAI_LNC011006)". The record is from RNAcentral. Lineage: Eukaryota; Viridiplantae; Streptophyta; Magnoliopsida; Malvales; Malvaceae.
UGGAACUUCAAGUCCUCGUCCGAGCGCCACCCCUCGUGGAACUUCAAGUCCUCCUCCUCCGAGAGCUACCCCGCCUGGAACUUCAAGUCCUCCUCCUCCGAGCGCUACCCCGCCUGGAACUUCAAGUCCUCCUCCUCCGAGCGCCGCUACGCCUGGAACUCCGAGCUCCAGCUCGCGUGGAACUUCAAGUCCUCCUCCCGAGGCCAACUCAGCUUCUCUCCUUGUUGCUACUCUCUCCCCUAUCUUGUACUUGUCCAUUGCCUUAGUUUUGUUGUGCUGAUACUGAUUCUAUGUUAUAACCAUUAUGAUUCUGAUCAUAUUUGUAGUGACAUUUAUUAUUUGAAUAAAUCUCGGUUCAUUUUCUGAAAUUAUGCAUACUGGUAUAUUAUCUUUUUAUCUUUUACCUCCUCUCUUAAUAAUAUGAUCCGUCGUUCAUAAAAAUGGAACAUAUUUCAUAUUCAAUAGAAGUAUCCACUUCCAGUAUCACUAAUCUGAUCAAAAUAUUUUGAUAAUGUGCUUGUAUCUUUUUGAGGAUCUCGUGUAGUUCGUGUUUAUCAUUGGAUAAUAGAUUGAAUCAAACAAUAUUAUUUUCCAAAGAUUCUUAUGUAGUUUACUGAUCAUAUAUUAAAUAUGCAAUUAAUGAAGAUUUGAGUUGAUUUUAUGAUAUUUUGUAUCUUUAUAUUAAGGAUAAUUGAUUUGAUGAGAUUUUGGCAGAUUAAGAUGAAUUAAAGAUUACCUUGUGAAGAUGGAUUCAUACUCUAAAUAUGGAAUGCUUGUUCAACAUUAAUAGAGGUUUUGUUGUUAAGGCAAGUGUUUUUUUUAAGUGGCUGCCAAUGUGUCAAUUGAAGUGACCACUUCUGUCAGCAAAUCGACAGGCAAUAUAAUUUACCUUAUUUGGAGUUGGAAAUCUGUUCAACUAAUUUAGUUGGACAACGACCUAAAUGAUUUUUUGGAUGUGUGCUAGAUCAUAUUUGAAGAUUCAUCUUGUGGAGCAAUAAAUCUUUGAAUAUCGGGUCAAAUCAAACAAUCAAGUCCCGUGAAAUAUGGAGAUUGAAUCAAGACUGAUUUGAAGACUUAUCCUAAAGAUCUCUUUGAUUUACUUUGGACUCUAUGAGGAUAUUUGUAAAGCCUUUUUUUGAGUCUAUUUUAGUGGGGUCUUGAUUGUUAUUUAUCUUUAUCUUAGCCGGCCACAAACUCUUAUAUAUUUAGAGGCUUGUGUAAGUUAGAAUGAUGUAGAGAAAACACUUCCAGUUCAUAGAGGAACAUCAUUUUGUAAGUGCAUUUAAAACCUUUUGUUGUUAGUUUUACAAAGUUCUAAUGGGGAGAAUUUAGUGAUGAAAGGUCUAGUUUUUAAGAUACAAUAGUGAAGAUUCUUCAUGGGUAUGUGUUAAAACUAGCUUCAUUAGUUGUAUUUGUUUCAAAGAUAGUGGAUUCAUCUCAUUGAGCUCAGGCCAGUUCUUGACAUUUUUGGGGCCUUAGGCAAAAUAAUAAAAUAGGGUUUUAGGUUCCUUAAAAGUUGGAGAAAAUUUUUUUUAAGCCCCAUAAAAGUUGGUAAAAAAAUUUUGGGCCCUUAAAUGCUAAACUUUUUUGGGCCUUUUAAAAACUGGAAAACAAUAUUUUGAACCCCUUUCAGCCCUGAGCCCUGGGUGGCUGCACCUCCAGAUGACCCCCAAGGCCGGGACUGAUUGAGUUAGGCUUCACAAAUAUAAAAAAAUCGAAUUCUGUAAUCAAUUUGUUGUCCUCUAUUUUGUUUUGUUUUUCGCAAGGUUUGAAAAGGUGUUCACCUCCGCAAUCACUUUUGUUCAUAUAUCUUACAAUUAUCAACUAAUUCAUGUAAAAAAUUCAAAUGAAAAUCACUAAAAAAAUCCAAAUAUAAAUAUUGUCAUAUAAAUAUCCAUAAACAAUAUUCAUCUAAAUUUUACAUUUUCUUGUCAAAGAGACAUUGGCUUAAUAGCAUUUGAACCUUUAUAAGAUUCAAACGUUAUGUAAAUCAUUCAUGCAUGUUUUAGAUAUAUGCUAGUUUUCUAUUCAUUCAUGCAUUGUAAUAAUUUGAUUUAGGCUAUUUACUACUUGCCAUUAUACUUAUCCUUUUAAUUACAUUUAUUGUUGAAACAAAAUUUGAAUUUUAAAAGUCGGAUUAAAAAUUAUUAAAAUUUUUUUAAAAAAAAUAUAAAAUUAGUUUAACUGAUUUUUUGUUCAGUCUAAUUCUAUGGAAGUGAUUCACACAAUAAUUAUACCGAGAGCCACAAGGAAGUGAGUUGAAUAAGCUUGAAGUCGAGUAUAGUUCAGAUGGAGGAGGGGAUUUAUAUAAAGUGUGUAAUCUAAUAUGCGCUAUUACAUAUAUUCAAGAGUAGAGUAGUAAUUGAUUGGAAAGAUGCCAUCUGAGCUGACUUGAUGUAACCAGCUAUAGCUAAAUUCAAUCGUGAGAAGUUGGUGUCGGUAUGUGACAAGGCAACGAGUUACUUUAAUCUUGGUUUUAGAGGCGUCCAUGGCAGGUUGGUCCAAUUAAAAUUUUAGGUUUGCUUCGGUUUGAAAAAUAAUUUUAAAAUUUUAAUUAAAUUUAAUUCAGAUAAAAAUAUUAAAAUUUAAGUCCGUAUUAAUUUUUAUAUUAUUUUAAAAAAUAAUAUAUAAAAAAAUUCUAAAAAUCUCAAAGUAGAUGUGUAGAGUUAAAUAACACUAAAAUAGGUGCAGUUUAACAAGUAAAUGCUCCUAAAAUAGUAACAAAAUUAACAAUAAAAUAAUAGUAACAUAAUUUUUCCUUAUUUGGUUUUGCAUUUUUUUUAAAAUUCUGUGUUCUUGGAUUGACAGGAGCAAAAGUUCUUGAUCGGAGUUGUUCUUAUGGUUCCUUGCUAUUCUGUAGAAUCGGUGAGUUUAUUUGCUAUUCUGUAGAAUCGGAGUUGUUCUUAUGAUCAAUGUUGCAAACUUUUGCUUCUAAAGAUGCUUGCAGUGGGAAUUUUUGUUGUUAGACUCCUGUGACUUCUUUUAUGACUCUUCAAUAGUCUGAUCAAUAAAGUCUUUGUUUUGAAUGGUUUUCUUUUGUUGCAAAGGAUGGUGCACAAGAUGAAUUCAGUUUUAUGCUGUAUUUUAAAAUGCUAUGCUGUAUGUAUGCUGAUCUGCAUUUUAUUCUCUUGUGUUCUUUGUCUGGUGAUGUUCAAAUUGUUAGGGAGCUUGUUACAAAUUUGUUAACGGUUUUGUUUAUUAAUGUUUUCUCUGUUCAUUGUCUUGGCUUUUCUAAUCUAUUCAUCCUUAUUCUGCAGCAUAUUGAAGACUUGACUCAGGAAAAGUUUUCACUGCAACGAGCUCUUGAGGCCUCACGUACAUUAGCAGAAUCUUUGGCUGCUGAAAAUUCAUCUUUGACUGAUAGUUAUAACCAACAGGUUUGUUUCCAAAUAUUAGAUUAGCNNNNNNNNNNNNNNNNNNNNNNNNNNNNNNNNNNNNNNNNNNNNNNNNNNNNNNNNNNNNNNNNNNNNNNNNNNNNNNNNNNNNNNNNNNNNNNNNNNNNCAUGGUCAUGACAUGUUUUUUUUAUCAGUUCAUCGUGCUUCUCCAUUGCAGCACUUUCUGUCAUUUCAUUAUCCUAAUUUGUAUUCUCAAUCCUUCUUAAAAAUCUCUUAAUUAUCUUACAUUUACUUUUCUCCCCAGAGAAGCAUUGUCAACCGGCUAAAAUCUGACAUGGAGAGCUUACAAGAAGAAAUCAAGGCCCAACUGGUUAGUAUUUACUAUAUUUAGGUUUUGGUAGUCACUUCAAAUUGUUAGAAAUAAUUGAAUCUCAUAUAACUACAUACCACUUUAUGUCAUAUGGUUAAUGCAAUGGUGUUUGUAUGGCAUGUGUCAUGUGUGCACAUAUGCACAUUGGUUUAGACCUGUUUGUGCUUAGAUAAAGUUCUAUCUAAAAAUUGAGAUACCUACUGCUGUCUAUUGCAUCUCUGGUGGUACCCAUUAACCAAAAAAUGCAGUACAAGGAACCCUCUUGAGGUUGUCCAUGUCUUUUGUUGCAAAGGAUGGUGCACAGGAUGUUGUUGAACUUUGGCCUGCAAUGCAAUAGGAAACCAGCAGCAAACCAGCGUGCAGACCAGCAUCCAAGCUGAACCAGAUAAGCAGCAGCAUUUUGUUUAUUUUGUUCAUUUUUAACUUGAUUUAGUUGCAAUGUAAUUUAUACUUAAAAUUAGUAGGAGUAGUUGUUGAUUUAUGUUUGAUGUUAUAGCUGGUAUGUCAGCUACAUUUUGUUUGUAAUUCUAUCUAGGCUUUAGUCAUGUAUCUUAUACUUGACUCGUUCAAGCUUUUGAUGGUUUUUGAACCAUGAACAAUAAGAAAUGAAUCAGAUAUGUUGAUGAAGAAUUGAACAUGUGGUUUCUAUUGGAUUUCUUCUGAAAUUAAGAAAUGAAUCAUUUUUCAUUCAUCAUUGCAUUGCUUCAUCUUUAGCUCAAAUGUGAAUCAUUUUGCAUUUUCUCUUCUGAUGAAUAUUCCAAUCUAUUGGACAAAUACACUAGUGUGAUGUUGGAAACAUGGAUCUAGAUUUGAAUUGUAUGCCUUGGGUUUCAAUAUAAAUGAAGCAGAAAUUAUAUAUUUAAAUUUGAUUUAUUAUAUAAAUAGUAAGAAUGAAAUGAAAAGUAUAAAAAUAUUUUGAAAAUAUGAAUGUUACAUUUUUAAAUAUAUUUUAUCCAAUUUCUGUUGAAAUAAUGUUUUGAUUGAUUGUAGGUUAAACAGGGAUUUAACAAUGCUAAUGUUAUAAAGUCAUAUUUUGACGUCUUUAAUCUUAUAUUAUAACUCCAAUGUUAAACUAAAUCAAACUUAAAGUUUAAGUUAAUUUUUAUCACCCCCAAUGUCUUAUAAUAUUGUUCAAAUUAGUAAAACAUUUUAAAGGAUUUGGUAUGUAGGCAAAAUUUCAUACAAACAUAGAUAACGAAAUUAGUCCAAUUGAGUAACACUGUACUAGGAAUUAGUAAAAACCAGCAGUAGCAUAUUUAUGUAAUUGUAAUAAUUCAUUUCUAAUUAUUUAUUAUUGAAAAUAAAUAUAAUUGUAAUAAUUUUUAAUAAUUUAUUUUGUAAUUGUUAAAUAAUUUUAAAAAUUUCUAUUAUAUAUCAUUUUUAAUCUAAUGUCCUUAAAAGUUAUUUUCUAUUUUCACCUCACCGCUACAGCUGCGUUUGAAUCUAAACACACACUCCACCGCUGUUUCUAAUCUCACUGCUACAGUACCCAAUCUCACCGCUACAGUAACUAAUCUCACCGCCACCGCUAUUUUUAACCUCACCGGAGCUAAACACACCGCUCAUCCAAACUAAGCCUUAGAUAAUAUUAUAUUAUUUGAGACGAAAAAAAAGAGCCAUAUCUUUUCGGAAGGAAUUGAUGAGACCGUGUUUAAAAAAGUUGGUACGGAUGUAACACUUGUCCUGAAAAGAACCAUUGACCUUUCUUUAAUCGUGGUUGCCGGGGGCGUAUAAGGAAAAUAUAUAGGAAGCGGCCAUAGUUGAACUGACUCCAAUCGGUGGUUCCCGUGUUGAAAGUCCAAGCAUUAUAGGAUGGUGUGCCUACUGUUGUAGUCCCUUUGCAAUGUUAAAGUUAAGGUUUUAAUCCUACUUUAAUUACGUUUUUAAUAGAUUAAAAUAUGAUUUUGAUCGUAUAAAUAAAUAUUUUUUUUAUUUUACUAUUUAUGAAAUUUUAAAAUUUGUACGAAUUUUCUAAGUGUACUUUUGCCAAUAUGGAUGCCAUUCAAUAACUGCCCCCACCCACGACCCUAAAUAACUCAAUUAUGGUCUCUCUUCACACAUGGGAAACGACUUUUAAUUAAUUGACCCAUAAGCAUGAGCUUUUUUCAUCAUCUUCCAAGAAAGUCACACAGACCCAUUAUUUCUAUAUAUAUAUGUUCCAUUGGUGAAGAUGAAGAUAUACAAAUUACACAUUACAUUUGAAAACUAGAGGCACAGAUCUAAGAGAGGGGCGACUGAGAAGUGAGAACACAGCAAAUUUUCAAUGAGUGGGAAAAUCACCAUGGCCAUGGCUGCACUUUUUGUAGUUCUAGCUGCAAAUGUGUUGCAGAGUACAAAUGGUGCAACUUAUACAGUGGGUGACUCUACUGGCUGGAGAGUCCCUGCCAAUAAUGAUUUCUACGAUGAUUGGGCUGAUAACAAAGCCUUCGUUGUUGGGGAUGUUCUCGGUGAGUUUUUGAGCUUUAAAAUCUUUGUUAAUUGAGCUUGUUGAUUCGGAAUUUGAUAUUUUUAUGCGUGUGGUUUUGCAGUGUUCAAUUUCACUACCGGACAGCAUGAUGUUGCAGAGGUGACGGAAACUGCUUACGAUGCGUGCACCACUGCCAAUACUAUAUCAACCGUCAGCACCGGUCCGGCAAGGAUAACUCUUAACAGGACCGGCGAAUUUUACUUCAUUUGUACUGUCCCCGGUCACUGUUCCGGCGGGCAAAAGCUCAACGUCGAUGUCAGAAAUGGGAACAACGGUACCGCUGCUGUUCCCGCACCUGGACCGAGUCCCACCACCACGCCUGUAGCUACCAGCCCCACCACCAGUACGCCUCCGACCGCUGCCACGCCCACCUCGCCUGGAACUUCAAGUCCUCCUCCUGGGACCAACUCAGCUUCUUCCCCUGUUUCUAAUCUG